RNAcentral lists this long non-coding RNA (744 nucleotides) under Homo sapiens (human). RNAcentral describes it as "HSALNT0366691". Lineage: Eukaryota; Metazoa; Chordata; Mammalia; Primates; Hominidae. The record is from RNAcentral.
GACCACACCAUCUGCGCAGCCUGCACCCUCGCGGCCCGGUAAACUUGACAGUUUCUUAUAGAGCACAGAAGCCGUGGUGGUGUCAUGGAAUAUUGUCAAUUUCGGUUACAUUUCAUCAUGGUCAAGUCAACUCCAGGAGGCAGCAUCAUGGACGAUUUGGCUUAUGUUCUGCUUUUGUCUUCUACAGAACCUUGUGUCUCACUGUUGUCUCCUUCCUGGCUGGGGUUAUCACAUGGCAUAUCCAACUGUGCUGGAGAGUCAGAAUAGCUGAGUGACUGAGUGCACAAUCCCUAAAGUGCAAUUUAUGAGCUGAGUGACCUCAGGAUUCCAUGGAAAGCUUGUGUUUACCCUCAAUAGUUAGAGACGUACAAGGAUGGAGAGGGAACAGAGCCAUCUUCCCAGAACCAACUUCUGCCAGAGGAGUCCCAUGAUAAUCCCAGCCAAAAGAACGAAAACAUGAGUAAUGGCUGUGACAUAAGAAAAUCCUAAGAGAGAAAACAGAGAAAAAGUUUUACGUGAGCGCCACAUUCCAGUUUGCAGAGUUAAGAUAGAUGAGGACAUUCAUUAAAUUCAUGUAUUAAUUCUAAUUCAAGAUGCACUGAAUUUCCAUCAUGUGAAUCAGAUGUUUUAUUUAUUUCUCUCUCAUUGUAUGGAUAAUGUCUAUAACUAGAGAAUGAGACUCAAUCCUACCUUUUCUUCCAAACUGUCUAUCUUCACUAGGGUGGAGUUCUUGUCUAUGCAGUC